AACAUUGACAUUUUUUUUUUUUUGCUGCUUCUUUAUCACUCCACAGAGUCAACCAAUUGGCCUUGUAGCACGUCUUCUCUCCGCCAGAACGCCACGCCUCAGGUUGUGUAACAAUUCCGGAUCUCGGUGAUUCCCUUUUGGCACGGACACAACAAGCUUGCCUUUCUAAAGAUAGAUAAACAGGUCUAUUCACAUGCUGUCAACUGUUGCAAAGCGCAAAACUGAAAGUCUUUGCUUCUUCCAACAACAUGCCUCGCCUUCGCUGGUUCAACGGAAGGACUUUGCAACGAGUGCAAAACAACCAAAAUGUACUUCUGGAGAUCACUGACCUCUGGCACCUGAGGGCAAGACUGACUGAACCUUUCGAUGCCCUAAGCUUUCACGCACACAUCUGGCGUCAAUCGGCUGAUAUCAAAUCCUUCUUCAUCACAUUUCCGUCUUCAAACGAUCACGUGACAACCCCAAACCUGAUUGAAUACCCAAACUGGAAAUCCCAAGUGGGCGCUUGAGUGAUGGACAACAGAUCUGGAAUCACACUGGAAUCAAUGACUUACCCUCUACUCGUUUCCUCUUUCACCACCCUCCCCAACCCUUCACCCCCCCCCACCCUCAAACAGCUGAGGCCCCCUAGAGCCUCCUCUCCACCACCAACAGCUGACAAUGACUGCAUUGACACCCCUACAUCCUCCAUUCAUCUUCAUUCCCCCACCCCUUUCACCCCGUCAUAUCCUGCCAUUUGCAUUGGAAUGACCACCCGUGCCUGCUGUGGUGUGUGCACGCUUGUGUGUGUGUGUGUGUGUGUGUGUGUGUGUGUGUGUGAGUGUGUGUACGCCAAGGGCUAAAAUAGUGUGUUCCACAUCCGCAUGACUCGACAUUGGAUCAGUUAACAUUCAUUUCAUAAAGCUCUGUCUUGCGUCGACAGUUUUCCACCGCAACAUAAGUGACUAUGGGAGUCCAUUUAUGAGCAAUGCACUCACUCAGAUGGUGGGCAAGGGGGGGGGGGGGGGGGGAUGUGAUUUCUCAGCUGCCUGGGAGACCACUUCCUGAGAGGCCCACUCGUGGAGGGGAGAUGCAUGGGGCUUCCCAUCUGUCCAAGGCAGCAACAAAAAGCCUGAGCAGCCUACCUUACCUAAUCGAGUCCCCCCCCCCCACUACGUAUUGGCAAAUGGAAACUGGGUGUUUCUCAGUUUGAAAGCUACAAAAGAAAUUGGAAAUGGGAGAGUGGCUGCUUGUCAAGAAGAAGGAAGCUGUUGUCACUACGCCACUGUUGAGAUGGAUCCAUUCCCCAUAAAGGGAACCCAAUGAGGUUAGAGUGGAUUUAAAGUCAAUCACUACACUAUUUCCAUUGUGGCCAACCUAACAGUGGUCAUCCCCUUAUACAUAAAAAAAGAACGUACAUUGUAGGGAUCGGCUGAUAUAAUAUUUUUAUUUUAGACUGUUGCCGACUCCGAUAGUUAGCAGAAUAAAUUUCUGAUGAUUGAUAAGGAAUAAAAUAACUUUUUUUUUUUUUUUUUUGGUCCCUUAAUGCUUACGAUAUAAAUUAA
Long non-coding RNA from Syngnathus typhle (broad-nosed pipefish), 1544 nucleotides. RefSeq lists it as uncharacterized. NCBI's taxonomy places the organism in Eukaryota, Metazoa, Chordata, Actinopteri, Syngnathiformes, Syngnathidae. The transcript is spliced from 4 exons. The record is from RefSeq and is a predicted model, not a curated record.